UUUAGGCACACUGGCGGCGUGCCUAAUCAUGCAAGUAGAACGCUGACCACUUUAGCUUGCUAGAGUGUGAUGAGUUGCGAACGGGUGAGUAACGCGUAGGUAACCUGCCUGAUAGCGGGGGAUAACUAUUGGAAACGAUAGCUAAUACCGCAUAAGAGCUUUUCUCGCAUGAGAGGAGUUUAAAAGGUGCAAUUGCAUCACUAUCAGAUGGACCUGCGUUGUAUUAGCUAGUUGGUGGGGUAACGGCUCACCAAGGCGACGAUACAUAGCCGACCUGAGAGGGUGAUCGGCCACACUGGGACUGAGACACGGCCCAGACUCCUACGGGAGGCAGCAGUAGGGAAUCUUCGGCAAUGGGGGCAACCCUGACCGAGCAACGCCGCGUGAGUGAAGAAGGUUUUCGGAUCGUAAAGCUCUGUUGUAAGAGAAGAACGGGUACGAGGGUGGAAAAUUCGUAUCGUGACGGUAUCUUACCAGAAAGGGACGGCUAACUACGUGCCAGCAGCCGCGGUAAU
This 515-nucleotide ribosomal RNA is filed under the name uncultured bacterium. RNAcentral describes it as "bacterial SSU rRNA". It matches the Rfam family "Bacterial small subunit ribosomal RNA", at positions 33 to 524 of the family's 1533-position model. The record is from RNAcentral.